This 325-nucleotide ribosomal RNA is filed under the name uncultured bacterium. Its description in RNAcentral is "bacterial SSU rRNA". It matches the Rfam family "Bacterial small subunit ribosomal RNA", at positions 30 to 353 of the family's 1533-position model. The record is from RNAcentral.
AUUGAACGCUGGCGGCGUGCUUAACACAUGCAAGUCGUGCGGUAACAGGCGUAGCAAUACGUGCUGACGAGCGGCGAACGGGUGCGUAAUACAUGGGAAUCUGCCCUUUGGUGGGGAAUAACCCGGCGAAAGCCGGGCUAAUGCCGCAUAAGAUCUUCGGAUGAAAGCGGGGGAUCGUAAGACCUCGCGCCGAUGGAUGAGCCCAUGUCGGAUUAGCUAGUUGGNGAGGUAACGGCUCACCAAGGCGACGAUCCGUAGCUGGUCUGAGAGGACGGCCAGCCACACUGGGACUGAGACACGGCCCAGACUCCUACGGGAGGCAGCA